UACGAAGGGGGCUAGCGUUGCUCGGAAUUACUGGGCGUAAAGCGUGCGCAGGCGGUGAUGUAAGUCAGAUGUGAAAUCCCCGGGCUCAACCUGGGAACUGCAUUUGUGACUGCAUCGCUGGAGUGCGGCAGAGGGGGAUGGAAUUCCGCGUGUAGCAGUGAAAUGCGUAGAUAUGCGGAGGAACACCGAUGGCGAAGGCAAUCCCCUGGGCCUGCACUGACGCUCAUGCGCGAAAGCGUGGGGAGCAAACAGG
Molecule: ribosomal RNA, 253 nt
Filed under: uncultured bacterium
Lineage: Bacteria
Description: partial 16S ribosomal RNA
Rfam family: Bacterial small subunit ribosomal RNA
Source: RNAcentral